UAGUUGUUUAAUGCUGCAUACUUGGACUUUAUGAUAUAUGAUCAACUGCAACUUUUAUUUCUGGUUUUUGUUGAUGCUGAUACUUUGGCUUUCCAGGUACACUGAAUAACAGUUGCAUAGCAGCACCUUCUCCUGUUCAACAGAAAUCAUCCGCUAACCUGUCAAUCAUUGACUUCUGCCAAUUGACCAACUGUGAAGGUGGAUCAUGCAACAGGAUAUCAAAUUUCUCAUACAGUUGUGAAUGUGAUCCUGGUUAUUAUAAUCUUCUUAACAAUUCUGCUUUUCCAUGCUACAGUGAAUGUGCUAUUGGAUCGGAUUGUGUGAACCUGGGGAUUUCUCAAUCUCCAUCACCAGCUCCUGCAUGGGCUGAUGACGGUAAAAAUCAAGCUGGCUCAAAUUUCCUCAGGACUUACUAUUUGUUGGCACUUCUGAUGUUGUCGCUGGUUAUGGUUUUGCAAAACUAGUAUAAAUAAGUGGAUGCUCGAGAUUUCUGGUACCACCGUCACUUGAUUAUAUGAUCCCUAAAUAUUAUGUG
Long non-coding RNA from Mangifera indica (mango), 535 nucleotides. RefSeq lists it as uncharacterized. The record is from RefSeq and is a predicted model, not a curated record. The transcript is spliced from 4 exons. NCBI's taxonomy places the organism in Eukaryota, Viridiplantae, Streptophyta, Magnoliopsida, Sapindales, Anacardiaceae.